CCUACGGGAGGCAGCAGUGAGGAAUAUUGGUCAAUGGACGCGAGUCUGAACCAGCCAAGUAGCGUGAAGGAUGACUGCCCUAUGGGUUGUAAACUUCUUUUAUAAAGGAAUAAAACGAGGCACGUGUGCCUUUUUGCCUGUACUUUAUGAAUAAGGAUCGGCUAACUCCGUGCCAGCAGCCGCGGUAAUACGGAGGAUCCGAGCGUUAUCCGGAUUUAUUGGGUUUAAAGGGUGCGUAGGCGGAAGGUUAAGUCAGCGGUCAAAUGUCGGGGCUCAACACCGGACUGCCGUUGAAACUGGUCUUCUUGAGUGAGCGAGAGGUAAGCGGAAUGCGUGGUGUAGCGGUGAAAUGCAUAGAUAACACGCAGAACUCCGGUUGCGAAGGCAGCAUACCGGAGCUGAACUGACGCUGAGGGACGAAAGCGUGGGGAUCGAACAGGAUUAGAUACCCCUGUAGUC
Molecule: ribosomal RNA, 459 nt
Filed under: uncultured bacterium
Lineage: Bacteria
Description: partial 16S ribosomal RNA
Rfam family: Bacterial small subunit ribosomal RNA
Source: RNAcentral